UCAUGGCUGCACUAAGGGAAAUUAGGCCCUCCCAUGGAGAUUUCCUGGACACAUAAAUUCCCUUGAGAAGCCACAGCCCCCUUCCACGACCACCACUAGCAUCUUGCAGAAUUGAAAGUCAGAACAAAGGGGUGAGAAGAGACCAACAGAACACAAGACCUGACACGUCUGUGAAGAAUGACAGAGAGAAGCCCAAGUCAUUUUCCAGAGCUAGUUCUUUGUGCUUACUAUUGCAGAUUGCCUUAAAAGAAUGUUCCCAAGAAAAUAAUCAAGUGUCUAAACUUUCUGGAGGAUGGAAGUCCAAGAUCAGGAUACCGGAGUGGUGGAGUUCCAGUGAGCGCCCUCUUCUGGGUUGCAGACAGCUAACUUCUUGUAUCCUCAAGUGGUAGAAAGAGCUGGCUCUCUGGCCUCUUACAAAGGCACUAAUUCCAUUCAUGAUGGCCGCCACCUCAUGACCGAAUUACCUCCCAAAGGCUCCACUUCGAAACCCUAUCACACUGGGGGUU
Molecule: long non-coding RNA, 506 nt
Organism: Prionailurus viverrinus (fishing cat)
Lineage: Eukaryota; Metazoa; Chordata; Mammalia; Carnivora; Felidae
Exons: 5
Source: RefSeq, a predicted model, not a curated record